GAUGAACGCUGGCGGCGUGCCUAAUACAUGCAAGUCGAGCGAACGGACGAGAAGCUUGCUUCUCUGCUGUUAGCGGCGGACGGGUGAGUAACACGUGGAUAACCUACCUAUAAGACUGGGAUAACUUCGGGAAACCGGAGCUAAUACCGGAUAAUAUUUUGAACCUCAUGGUUCAAAAGUGAAAGACGGUCUUGCUGUCACUUAUAGAUGGAUCCGCGCUGCAUUAGCUAGUUGGUAAGGUAACGGCUUACCAAGGCAACGAUGCAUAGCCGACCUGAGAGGGUGAUCGGCCACACUGGAACUGAGACACGGUCCAGACUCCUACGGGAGGCAGCAGUAGGGAAUCUUCCGCAAUGGGCGAAAGCCUGACGGAGCAACGCCGCGUGAGUGAUGAAGGUCUUCGGAUCGUAAAACUCUGUUAUUAGGGAAGAACAUAUGUGUAAGUAACUGUGCACAUCUUGACGGUACCUAAUCAGAAAGCCACGGCUAACUACGUG
This 497-nucleotide ribosomal RNA is filed under the name uncultured bacterium. Its description in RNAcentral is "partial 16S ribosomal RNA". It matches the Rfam family "Bacterial small subunit ribosomal RNA", at positions 28 to 507 of the family's 1533-position model. The record is from RNAcentral.